Tinamus guttatus (white-throated tinamou) is the source of this 134-nucleotide non-coding RNA. The record is from RefSeq and is a predicted model, not a curated record. Lineage: Eukaryota; Metazoa; Chordata; Aves; Tinamiformes; Tinamidae.
CAUGAGAAGCUGGUAUCAGUGACAGUGACUGAGCACUGGAACAGGUUGCCCAGAGAAGCUGUGGAAUCUCCUCCCUUGGAGAUAUUCACAAGCCAUCUGGACACAACCCUGCACAACACACUCUAGGUGACCCU